GGGUCAGUAGGUUGGUCGUGCCACCGGUACGUACUGGUCUCACUGAUUCCUCCUUCCUGAAGAACCGUAAUGCCAUUAAUUUGGUGUUGCGGGGAAACAGGACCGUUACUUUGAAAAAAUUAGAGUGUUUAAAGCAAGCUAACGCUUGGAUACAUUAGCAUGGAAUAAUGAAAUAGGACGAUCGAUCCUAUUUUGUUGGUUUCUAGGAUUGACGUA
RNAcentral lists this ribosomal RNA (216 nucleotides) under Glomeromycotina sp. Its description in RNAcentral is "partial small subunit ribosomal RNA". The stretch from base 40 to 216 matches the Rfam family "Eukaryotic small subunit ribosomal RNA", at positions 686 to 864 of the family's 1831-position model. Lineage: Eukaryota; Fungi; Glomeromycota. The record is from RNAcentral.